This 345-nucleotide small RNA is filed under the name Histoplasma capsulatum. RNAcentral's name for it is "hypothetical RNA". Lineage: Eukaryota; Fungi; Ascomycota; Eurotiomycetes; Onygenales; Ajellomycetaceae. The record is from RNAcentral. RNAcentral also lists the same sequence under 1 other name.
ACCUACCUAUGACUUUGAGUUUUGUUUGUCCCAGUGGAGCGUUUCUUGAUGAAAACUCCCGGGAACUCUGUUAACUACCUACUUCUGUAGGUACCUCCCAUGCUGAGUUUAGAAUAAACAACUCACUGGCUCACCAAGCAACAUGAUUCUCUGUAGUCAGAACAGUUGAUUGAACACACCAGUGUAGUAUAGGGAAGAGAAGGUCUGUGUUCUAAGUAUGUAUAAAGCCGGCCGAUUAUUGAGUUUCCCUGUGCUAAACAUAGCAGCCCCGGUUUUGUUUUCACUGAAAACAAAGCAUCUACUGUGUUUAACGUUUCCGUUGAAAAAAAGAAGGGCGGAGGAAAA